UGGAACAGCAGGUGUCUAUGAUCUGCAGAGAAAAGAUGUGUUGCUAAGAAAGCCUGCCAUGCGCUCAAGCGUUCAGGUGUAUGCCAUGUAGGCUCGUUCUUCCAGGGUUGGGUCUGCUGUCACGCAGCCAAUGCAAGCAGCAGCUUUAUGGAGGGGGUUUCAGAAGAGCCGGGCUUGGUGGAGAUGGGCACUGUAAAAGUGAAUCCCCAAGAGCGAGCACUUCCUGAUGCACAUACAUUUCGAAUGACAGUCGUGUUGUGGAGAUGAGGAGGAUUGAGGCUUGGAGAAAAAUUGAUUUGUUGAAGUCCAUCCAAGUGAGCACGUGGCCUGACAGGAGCUGAUGAAGGAGCCUGACCUGAGUGCAGAGCGAAGAUACCAGUGGUGCCCAUUAGACAACGUCAGGAAACUUAGUGUGGAGGACCUGCUGGACACUGGCGCUGCUAGCAGAGAAAGGGAGCGAGGCAGGAUGGGCCAAUAGAAGCAGCAACAAGACUACAGGUCACAUCUACUGACUGUACGCCUGGUACCUGGUUUUUGGUCUGGAUCCCUCCAAUACGGCAUAAAGUCUACAAAAGCAAGUGCCUUGUCUGCUUAUUCACACUGAUUCCCUGGCACUGGAACAUUCUAUAGAGAUCCUGAAAAAGAGGAAACAGAGAAACAAACAAGCCAAAACGAUUGACAGAAGAAGCCUAGGGUGUGAUUAUUUACCUAUGCACGAUGGCAACAGAACUACUGAUUCAACCAGCAUAGUUCCUGGCCAGUGAGGACAUUGUCUGUAAAGUGCAGUUACAUGGGAACCUGCUCUGGAUUAAGGCCAUCUUUGUGUCUUGUGAAAAUGCUGCUGCUUUGGCUAGAGUCUCGACUCUUGGAGGAAGCUAAGCCUUUGGGAGCUCAACUGGUGAAAGCUACUUCCCUCCUUCUGAUUUGGGGCUGUAUUUUUCUUCUUACACAUGCAAAUAGGUGCUGAGAUUCAAUGUUAAUGUGCUCAUGGGGCAUUUGGGCAUUGUGUGUUAAAGCAUUUCUACAUGCGUCAACUUCUGGAGAUGAGAAUGGCAUCAAAUUUUAAACAAGCUACAAAGCUGGACCACAGUUGAAAGUGAAAAUCCUCUCCUAAGUACCAGUGACGAACAACUGAAUUCUUCUCUCUCCAUCUUGGAAUUGAUGUGCGCUUAGUGUGUUUUCAAAAGAAAAUAAAAGACUACUUUGGGAUCUGUUAAGAGUUUGAGGUCAGCAAACUGUUUCCUGUAAUUCAUAUGAUGCGAAGUUAUCUUAAAGUAGACUUGAUGAAAGCAACCCUGAGAGCCUGCCCAUACACAGGGCCCUGACGCUUGUCAUGCAAAGAUUUGUCACGGCUGCUGUUCCAUCUGAGAAAGAUGGACGUAUAGGAUUACGGACCAUGCAUCUAUCAAGAUCAAAAGUACUGUUUGGGAUUUAAGUUGCUACACUGAAGGAUUCACUGAUGCCAAGUAGAAUACCACCUAAAGUUCAUGAGGUGGUCCUUCAGCAGUACUAAAUGAAACAUUUAGGAAGGCCUCCCAAAUGACACUGCUCUACUCAGCAAAACGGCAUCUUGAUAUACUUAUUGUAGAAAUUCACAAGGCACUUCUAAUACAAAGACAGUCCACUAGAUGCAGUUUACAAAGUCAGAGAACAUGGGAAACGGUGCUGCAGAUCAGCUUACAUGGAGCACACUUGGAAGAAACUGACGCUGUUGGUGGUGGAGUAGAAAAACAAAAAGAAUGGAGGUCCUUGAUGGCACUGCCAACCAACCCUGAAGUCUGUCUAACCUCUGAACUACCAGGUGCAGAGGCUUCUGGGAAGCAGGUAGCUGAGAACAAUGCAUCAACAGGAGCACCUUGCAGAGCUCCGGUGGGGGCUGCUGUGCCUCACAUGCACACACAGAACACACUCGCCCGUGGUCACUUACAUCCGUUUCAUCCUUCUUAAGGGAGGAAAAAUAAACGUGUAUGCUAAUAUGCUCCCAAGAUAUCUGCACAGCCUCGUCCACCUAUUAACUGAUAACUUCUCUCUAAUGUAUAAAAAGAGGGAUAUAUGUAAACCAUGCUUGGUGUUUUAGUAUUCUCUUUAUUUCUACGAAUUUUAAUUUUUAGAGGAUUGUCCGAGUAACCCCAAAUUUCUCAAUAUUAGUCAAAGGUCUCAAAGUUAACUAAAGAUUUUAGAAAUUAUGUUUACUUAUUUAUGCAAUGCAAAAAACCCACGAUUCCUGCUGAUAUUAUGAUUUUACCAGAGAAAUAUUUCAAUUUUUUGCUACCAAUUCAUAAGAAUUAAUACUUUUUAAUAAAGACAUGGCCUAUUCUAAUCUAAUUUGGAUGUUAUGAAUUUUAUUUUUAGUAAUUCUAAAUAUUUUGUGGAAAUGAUGCUUUACUUGGCCCAUAAAAUUAUUUUAGGAAUUUAGUUGGCUUAAAACAGGGUUUUCAUGGGAAAAUAAAACCAAGUUUUGUGUCGGGUAUAUUACUAUGUUAACAUUUUCAUGCUGUGAUAAAACUGGGAAAAGUUUAUUGUGCCAAGUUUUCACCUUGAUUAGGAAUAUUGUCUGAACUUCAUUUUAUAUUUGCAUGCACAUUUAAGA
Long non-coding RNA from Equus caballus (horse), 2590 nucleotides. The record is from Ensembl. Lineage: Eukaryota; Metazoa; Chordata; Mammalia; Perissodactyla; Equidae.